This 305-nucleotide ribosomal RNA is filed under the name uncultured bacterium. RNAcentral describes it as "bacterial SSU rRNA". It matches the Rfam family "Bacterial small subunit ribosomal RNA", at positions 334 to 637 of the family's 1533-position model. The record is from RNAcentral.
CGUACCUACGGGGGGCAGCAGUGAGGAAUAUUGGUCAAUGGGCGCGAGCCUGAACCAGCCAAGUAGCGUGAAGGAUGACUGCCCUACGGGUUGUAAACUUCUUUUAUAAAGGAAUAAAGUGAGGCACGUGUGCCUUUUUGUAUGUACUUUAUGAAUAAGGAUCGGCUAACUCCGUGCCAGCAGCCGCGGUAAUACGGAGGAUCCGAGCGUUAUCCGGAUUUAUUGGGUUUAAAGGGUGCGUAGGCGGGAGAUCAAGUCAGCGGUAAAAAUGCGGGGCCCAACCCCGUCGAGCCGUUGAAACUGGG